AAAAAGUGGGUACUUUGCAAUUUUGCCUUAGCUUCAUUUUAAGGUAGAUCUAUGUCAGAGUUCAAAUUCAGUGUUCAAUGACUUACUGCCUGACUGUACAAUGAUCUGUCUAGUCUCCUAAAGGAAGCCAGAAGAAAAGAAGAGUGAUCUGGUAAAAAGAGGGCUGAGAUCCUCCAAGAACUGAGUUUGUGUUCCAGCUCUGUCACUAUUUGAUUAUCAACGGGCAAUUUAUGUAAUCUGUUUUAAAUCAUGGUUUCCAUACCAGUAAAAGGGAUAUAAUAAUUUAGAUCCUGCAUAUCUUGAGACUAGAUGAGUCAGUGUGUGUGGUGCUUUAUAAUACUGAUGUGUUUUUGACUUAACAGGCCCCGUUGACUGGAGGAUGGCCAUUUGACAACACAUUAUUUCCUGAGGAAACUUUUGACUUCUGGUGACUUGGGCCCCAGGCUGGCUGAAUUUGCCAAGACCCGGCUUUGCCCUUGCAUGUGUGAAAAAUGGCCUCAAGUAUGACCCCAUGGCAAGAUGGAAAGAAACUGUGCUCUUGAAUAGCUUAGAGAUUCAGAGCCCCCCAACCAGCUUGAAACGCCCACCUCAAAACAAUGACAUGAGAAGAAACAAACCUCUAAUUUAAGCCACUGUCUUUUUAAGAGCAUUGUAGUUUGAGAUCUCUUUCUUUCAGCUGUUUAGUCCCCAGCUAAACACUUACUGACCUUAUCUUACAGGUCAAGAAAAAUGAAGUUCUGGGGUACAAGUCACUAAUGUAUUAGAAAUUUUCCAGCUCUCCCUCCUUGCCCAGCAGAGUAUAUUUCCACUCAAACACAAUGAACCCAUUUGGAAUGGGACAAAACAAAAUGGGGUGGGCCUGGAACAAGAGAAAGUUCAGCUACACAGGAUCCAGGUCAAAACUCUUUAAUCCUCCCAUUUCUGGAUUUCAAAUGAACACCUUUUUGUCUAGCAGUUCUCCUCCAGAGGUUUGCUUUCCCACAACAGCUUGUCAACAGUGUAAGAAGUUCAAAAAGAACUUUUGGGGUUGCACGUUGCAGGUUGUGUGGCAUCAUCCCAGCUUGUCUCAACACCUCUGAUGAACAGUAGCGGAAGAAAGGACUCUUUCCACAUGAGUUCCUCGGCGGUCCCCGUCUCUUAGGGAGUUUAUAAAAAAAUCCAUCAUCUUGUUCUACUAAACCCAAGUAAAUAUAAUUAACACCAAAUGUGUGUUCUGCUCAUCAAAUUGUACAGCCAUAAAGAGAUAAUCUUUGUAAAAUAAAUGACUAGGCUUCCUUGAUAAGUCAAUAAGGCAAAAACCUUGGGAGUAAAUUAAGACAAAUGGGAAACCAGCUGGAAGAAAUCAAACAGGCAAAGCAGGUGGGGUGGCUUGUGUUUGGGAAGAUAAAACACAGCAUGAAGCAUUUGCACAUUUACACAAAAGCAAGAUCUAUAACCUUAUGCUUUGAACUGAGCUAAAUGCAUGACUUAUUUAAGAAGAGCUGGUAGCUGGGAACUGGUUGAACUAAGAGUGUCAAGACCAAUUCUGAUGAUGUUUUCUUGUACUUUGCCUGUUUUUACAUGCUCUGAAGAUUGCCAAACAACCAGCAGCAGAUGGUCCUGUAUCUAAGUGCAAUGCUAAGUGGUGUGAGGGAUGGCAUGAUUGACCAUUUACUCAGAGGAGCAUAAAAGAAGGAAUUCUUGUUAAAAAUGCCUCUGUUGUAUCAAGUGGCUGUAAAACAGGCAAGAGAAUCUGGGAACUCUUAUAUCCAAGAGCAAGAUGGAUACACUUGGAUUGAAAAAUGCAGCCAAGACCCACAAAUGCCAAGUCCUUGCCACAGAACAAGCUGUCCAGCUGGAAGAAACUAGAGGAAUCCCCAAACCAUUUGUCCUCUGACUCAAGAACACCAGAAUUAUACCAAGACAAAACUGUGCAGCUAUCACUGUUCUGCACAGGUGUACCGCCUUGUGAAGUGAUCCGGGAGACUUCUGUGUUACCAAACCCUCCUCACAUACACUCACUCCCACUAAAACAUCUCCUUCUAUACAAAUUAGAAACUGAGGCUCCCAGAAAACAACUUGAAAGGAAUGUAGAGAAACUUAUGAUUGUCAGAUUUAGCAAAUAAAAAUACAAGGAUGCCCAGUUGAACUUGAAUUUCAUACAAACUACAAGUAAUUUUUAAUAUAAGUAUGUCCCAAGUCUUAAAAGAGGACUACAAAUAAUUUGUUAGUGUGAGUGUGCCCGUAAGUAUUUGGGACAUACUCACACUAACAAAUUAUUUGUCAUUUAUCUGAGAUUCAAACUUAACUGGGCAUUCUAUACUUAACUUGGCAAUUUGAGGAAGGGUGAAAAAAGAGAAUACAUUAUUACAUUGCAUCAUGGAGAUACAGACCUUAAAAAUAAAAAUGUUGUAGGCUGAGGCCAAGACACAGAAGCCUUUGCAGCAGUGCUAAUUGGGCAUUAUAAGUUUAUAUUUAUUAACUCUUUUCAGAAAUCAUAAUCUUGAAGGAAAAUAUCCCAAAUCAUCUCAAUACAGACAAUAUCCGUACAAGGAUACUACUUGACAUAUUCAAUCAAAACAAUAUGAAUUCUUACAAACUAAGAAUUGGACUAGAAUUUAGAAUGUAUGCUCAUUGGCCUUUUAGCUAUUUAUAGCUGGAGUCCCACAGAUACCAAAUGUCAUGAAUGGAAAUCCACAUGCCCAUCAUUGACAAUCUAAACAGAACUUGUUUGAUUAAGAAUAAAGGAGGAGGAAAACAACAAAGGAAACUAUAUUUCAGAAUAUGGGAACGUGAUUACUAUCCCAAGAAUAUAAAAAAGUAUUUUUAUACUAUCUGACAUAACCAAAAGAAUAUGAAUUACAUGAAACAAGAGCCAGAAGGUACAAGGAUGAAUUAAGAAGCUUGUUAGGCGAGUUAAAGACAUUUCAAGAAAUUGAAAAUAUAGGAGUAUUAGAGUCUUUAUUGAAAUCAGUGAAGGAAUUGACAAUGUCUAUCAU
RNAcentral lists this long non-coding RNA (2978 nucleotides) under Homo sapiens (human). Its description in RNAcentral is "non-protein coding lnc-SNX13-2:5". The record is from RNAcentral. Lineage: Eukaryota; Metazoa; Chordata; Mammalia; Primates; Hominidae.